CACAGUGAUGAUAACCGUGAGUAGGAAGUGCCGUCAGAUGCGAUAACUGACGAUAUUUGAUCCACUUUUCUGAGU
Molecule: small nucleolar RNA, 75 nt
Organism: Sphaeramia orbicularis (orbiculate cardinalfish)
Lineage: Eukaryota; Metazoa; Chordata; Actinopteri; Kurtiformes; Apogonidae
Product: small nucleolar RNA SNORD49
Source: Ensembl